This is a non-coding RNA of Phoenix dactylifera (date palm), 1049 nucleotides long. The record is from RefSeq and is a predicted model, not a curated record. Lineage: Eukaryota; Viridiplantae; Streptophyta; Magnoliopsida; Arecales; Arecaceae.
AAGGCGAGGGAGUCGAGGGGAAAAGAAGAAGGCUCUGCACCGGGAGGUCCACCACGCUGUAGAAUCCUCUUGAUUUUUAAGGGCUGGUACUGGUGGAAGCGUCUUGUGUUGAAGGGGGUUGCCGAAGUGACAAUAGUAACAUUGAACCCUCGAAUAUGCUCGAAGAUCUCAAAAUGAUCUUCCAGUUCCGGGGAGAAUUCGCAAAACUCCGUUUCCAUCGAAAAUUCAGUCUUGUCACCCUUUAAUGACCCUUAUCCUCUCCAUGUUUCGCUUGUUAAUGAGUUUUUGAACUUGGCCCGAUAUAUUGUCAAUGUUUGUAAAAUAUGAUUUUUGUGAAGGAAUUUCAUACCUUUUAUUAGAUUAAGGGGUAUUUUCUUCUUCUGGUUGUGCCAUUCAGGAUAGAAUUUAAUUAUAACUCCUGUUGUUCAUGUUGUUGUUGCAGUCUUGCAAGAGUUUGAAGAUGGAGGCGUUUAGACUGUAUCAUUGCCCAGCCUCAUAUCAGAGAUUGAUGAUGUUUAGCAGAUGAGCUUUCUGAAGAUUGUGUGUUAUAGCAGGAAACAUUUCCCCAAUCGAUGUGGUAACACAUAUGCCCAUCUUAUAUGAGGAAGCUGAUAUUCCAUACAUAUUCCUUCAAAAGAGUUGAACAGGUGACACAUAACCUGGUCAUUUUCUUUGGGUUCAAUCAGCAGUCCAGGUUUUAAAACAUUGCUUGGAGCAAUGUACCCAUCACUAACUCAAGUUUUAGAAGAAGAGGUAAACGAGCUGACAGCCUCCCUCUUCUGAUGGGAAGAGGAAGAAUGCUACGCUUGCUCGUGCAAUUAUUAUUAUUGUUAUUGAUGUUAUUAUUAUGGUUUCCGUUUCAUGUGCUGUCGAUGUCAAUGGGCAAGAUGCAGAUGCUGUGUGUUCUUGUGGGGCACAAAGGACCAAAGCUGUUUCCGUUAUUCUUGUUUUUCCAACAUGAUGGAUAUGUUAGAUGGAUGCUGGAUGCUGGAUGAAUUAUUUCACUGAUUUGUUUGUUUAGAGCAAUUUUUUUAAAUAUUUUUGACUUC